Molecule: long non-coding RNA, 1016 nt
Organism: Cyprinus carpio (common carp)
Lineage: Eukaryota; Metazoa; Chordata; Actinopteri; Cypriniformes; Cyprinidae
Source: Ensembl
CUCUUUGGAGUGUUACAAGCAUCUCCGUGAAGUUGGCACCCCAUAAAAAGGAAUGAUCAUCAAAACUAUGGCAUUCGUUUGUGCUACGUUUGUGCUGAUUUGUGCCACAAAAAUGAACGUUUGUGCUGGUUUGGUGUUUGAGAUAUUAAACAUUCUUUUUUUGACCGUGUGACAUCACUCUCCACCCCAUGGCGUCCAAAUCUCUCCAAACCGGUGCCAUUCGUUUGUGCUCGAUUUGUGCUGGUUUGUGCCAUUCAAAUUUGCAUUGUAUCUAUUUCCCGUCCUCACAAAUAACAAAUACAAAACGGGCCAGUGACGUCCCUCCAAACCGGUGCCGUUCGUUUGUGAGGUAUUUGACCUCCGUGAAGUUGGCCCCCCACUCAACGCAAAACGUCAGCAAAAUCGUCUCAGUCGUUUGUGCUGUAAAAAUUUUCGUUUGUGCCGCUUUGGUUUUUUAGAUUAAAAUAAUAUUUAUAGGUCAAUCUGAGGUCACUCAGCCCCCCACAUACUCCAAAUUCACCCAAAAUAGAUUCAAUCGUUUGUGCUUCGUUUGUGCUGGUUUGUGCCGGUAAUAUUUUCGUUUGUGCUGUUUCAGUUUUUUAGAUAUUAAAAUAAUAUUUAUAGGUCAUUCUGAGGUCACUCAGCCCCCCCCCACAUACUCCAAAUAGACUUGUUUGUUUGUGCUUCGUUUGUGCUGGUUUGUGCCGGUAUAAGUUUCAUUUGUGCUGCUUUGGUUUUUAAAAUAUUAGAUAAUGAAUUAUAGACGAUGACGUCACUCAACCCCCCACAUGCUCGAAAUCCACCCAAAAUAAUCUUCUUUAUGUUUAAUUUGUGCCGUCAAAAUGUUCGUUUUUGAUGCUUCGGUUUUUUUUAGAUAUUUUUAGUGAUCAUUCUGAGGUCACGCUCCAAAUUUACCCCAAAUAAUCUUUGUCUGUGCUGUAUUUUUAUUUAUUUAUUCAUUUAUUUUUGUGCUCCGUCGGUCUUUUAGAUAUUAAAAUAAUAUUUAGUGAUCAUUC